CAGAGACACAGGCAGAGGGAGAAGCAGGCUCCCUGCAAGGAGCCUGAUGUGGGACUUGAUCCCAGGACCCCAGGAUCACACCCUGAGCUGAAGGAAGCUGCUCAACCACUGAGCCACCCUGGCAUCUCAAAGGAUGACUUUAUGGAUUGUUCUUGUACAUUGGAUAUGGUGUGAUGAAGGUAACAUGUUAAAUGAAGAGUUAGUACUACUGCAGAUGGAAAUAUCUGGAAUACCUGUAAAAACAUGAAACCGAUCUUGAAUAGUUUAACAAAUGAAGUCCAAAGAAAAAUGGAAAUGAAAGCUAAGGCAGAUCCCAUGGCCAAGCCCAGACUGAAGUGGCGCAGGAGUAGACUCCAUUUCUGGACUGGAAGAGCCGCAGGUAGAAAUAUAUAGAGGUAUGGAAACGUUUGUGGAAAUUUUGCUUCUUACUACAGAAAGUAAUUUAAUUUCAGAAUUUUCCAAGCUUAUUUUCAAUUCAAGCUGAGCUUCAGAUACUUUAAUUAUCUCUUGUUGGUUUUAAAGAACAUUUGGAAUCUCUUCUGAAAUGGAUAUUCAACUCAAUUCCAACGUGGGACCAUAAAUUCCUCAUUAUCUUCCCCGUGUUUUGAAGAUGGUUUCCGAACAUGGUGAAAUGCAAUACUUACUUUUCAUAUAUAUGCAAAUAAAGUUUAGAUAAGCAAAAGAGCUGAAAAUAUA
RNAcentral lists this long non-coding RNA (696 nucleotides) under Vulpes vulpes (red fox). RNAcentral's name for it is "lncRNA (ENSVVUG00000027391.1)". The record is from RNAcentral. Lineage: Eukaryota; Metazoa; Chordata; Mammalia; Carnivora; Canidae.